RNAcentral lists this transfer RNA (73 nucleotides) under Coelodonta antiquitatis (woolly rhinoceros). RNAcentral's name for it is "tRNA-Gln". It matches the Rfam family "tRNA". Rfam says of the family: Transfer RNA (tRNA) molecules are approximately 80 nucleotides in length. Their secondary structure includes four short double-helical elements and three loops (D, anti-codon, and T loops). Further hydrogen bonds mediate the characteristic L-shaped molecular structure. tRNAs have two regions of fundamental functional importance: the anti-codon, which is responsible for specific mRNA codon recognition, and the 3' end, to which the tRNAs corresponding amino acid is attached (by aminoacyl-tRNA synthetases). tRNAs cope with the degeneracy of the genetic code in two manners: having more than one tRNA (with a specific anti-codon) for a particular amino acid; and 'wobble' base-pairing, i.e. permitting non-standard base-pairing at the 3rd anti-codon position. The record is from RNAcentral. Lineage: Eukaryota; Metazoa; Chordata; Mammalia; Perissodactyla; Rhinocerotidae.
UAGAAUGUGGUGUAACUUGGUAGCACGAAGAUUUUUGAAUUCUUAAGAGUAGGUUCGAUUCCUAUGGUUCUAG